UGGGUAGCUAUGUGCGGAAGGGAUAAGUGCUGAAAGCAUCUAAGCAUGAAGCCCCCCUCAAGAUGAGAUUUCCCAUAACGUAAGUUAGUAAGAUCCCUGAAAGAUGAUCAGGUUGAUAGGUUCGAGGUGGAAGCGUGGUGACACGUGGAGCUGACGAAUACUAAUAGAUCGAGGACUUAACCAA
RNAcentral lists this ribosomal RNA (184 nucleotides) under Bacillus cereus group sp. N21. RNAcentral's name for it is "partial 23S ribosomal RNA". It matches the Rfam family "Bacterial large subunit ribosomal RNA", at positions 2742 to 2925 of the family's 2925-position model. The record is from RNAcentral. Lineage: Bacteria; Bacillati; Bacillota; Bacilli; Caryophanales; Bacillaceae.